GGCCCCCCGCUACCUGGCCGAGUCACUUCCAGUAGUCAUGUAGUUGAGCUGGCAGACGGACGGCGAGCAGAGAGCGACCCGAUAUGGAUCCUUCCGCCAGACCCGCUCACGUGACGAGAGGGAGUUAGUUGAUUAAUUAACAGAAAAAAAGAAAACAGAUAAUAAAGAUAAAAAAAAAAAAAAAAACUGAAGUAAAUUUGUGAUCCAGAAAGCAUACUUUAGCUUUUCUGAAAUGAGAGCUGGAUGAUUAGUGAAAAAAAAAAUAGUGUUGAGGAUUAUUUGUGCGAUUCUGCAUAAUCACUUAACCCUUAGGAAUCCAGCCAAAGAAAC
Penaeus chinensis is the source of this 330-nucleotide long non-coding RNA. RefSeq lists it as uncharacterized. The transcript has 2 exons. Lineage: Eukaryota; Metazoa; Arthropoda; Malacostraca; Decapoda; Penaeidae. The record is from RefSeq and is a predicted model, not a curated record.